CUACGUGCCAGCAGCCGCGGUAAUACGGAAGGUCCGGGCGUUAUCCGGAUUUAUUGGGUUUAAAGGGAGCGUAGGCUGGAGAUUAAGUGUGUUGUGAAAUGUAGACGCUCAACGUCUGACUUGCAGCGCAUACUGGUUUCCUUGAGUACGCACAACGUUGGCGGAAUUCGUCGUGUAGCGGUGAAAUGCUUAGAUAUGACGAAGAACUCCGAUUGCGAAGGCAGCUGACGGGAGCGCAACUGACGCUGAAGCUCGAAGGUGCGGGUAUCGAACAGGAUUAGAUACCCUGGUAGUCCGCACAGUAAACGAUGGAUGCCCGCUGUUGGUACGUGGUAUCAGCGGCUAAGCGAAAGCAUUAAGCAUCCCACCUGGGGAGUACGCCGGCAACGGUGAAACUCAAAGGAAUUGACGGGGGCCCGCACAAGCGGUGGAGCAUGUGGUUUAAUUCGAUGCAACGCGAAGAACCUUACCUACUCUUGACAUCCAUGGAAUCCUGUAGAGAUACGGGAGUGCUUCGGGA
Molecule: ribosomal RNA, 520 nt
Filed under: uncultured bacterium
Lineage: Bacteria
Description: bacterial SSU rRNA
Rfam family: Bacterial small subunit ribosomal RNA
Source: RNAcentral